GUUUGAUUGUGACUAUGCCUAUGUACUUGGACACAUAUGCUAUCAUAUACUCUCAGCUGGCUUGAAUGGUUACAUGGCCACUGUAACAAAUCUGAAAAACCCUGUAAACAAGUGGAAAUGUGGCGCAGCUCCAAUUACGGCUAUGAUGACGGUGAGGCGAUGGUCACGUGGUCCUGCAUCUACUCCAGUUGGAAAGCCGGCAGUCCAUCCUGCUUCUGUCGACUUGAAAGGAAAAGCAUAUGAGUUGCUGAGACAUAGUGGUUCAAGUUUCUUGAUGGAUGAUAUAUACCGAAACCCUGGUCCACUUCAGUUCGAAGGGCCUGGUGCUGAUGCUAAGAGUAUUACGUUGUGUGUUGAAGAUCAGGAUUACAUGGGGCGAAUUAAGUUGCUCCAGGAAUACCUGGAUAAGGUGAAGAACAUUGUAAAGCCAGGAUGUUCGCAGGAGGUCCACCAACAGCAUUGAAAA
This 466-nucleotide unclassified non-coding RNA is filed under the name Hevea brasiliensis (rubber tree). The record is from RNAcentral. Lineage: Eukaryota; Viridiplantae; Streptophyta; Magnoliopsida; Malpighiales; Euphorbiaceae.